RNAcentral lists this transfer RNA (76 nucleotides) under Armatimonadota bacterium. RNAcentral describes it as "tRNA-Met". It matches the Rfam family "tRNA". From Rfam's summary of the family: Transfer RNA (tRNA) molecules are approximately 80 nucleotides in length. Their secondary structure includes four short double-helical elements and three loops (D, anti-codon, and T loops). Lineage: Bacteria; Bacillati; Armatimonadota. The record is from RNAcentral.
GGCGGAGUAGCUCAGUGGUUAGAGCACGCGGCUCAUACCCGCGGCGUCGUCAGUUCGACUCUGACCUCCGCUACCA